UGGCACGCCAUUGAAAUGCACAGUGUUGC
Molecule: non-coding RNA, 29 nt
Filed under: Rattus norvegicus (Norway rat)
Lineage: Eukaryota; Metazoa; Chordata; Mammalia; Rodentia; Muridae
Source: RNAcentral